Molecule: non-coding RNA, 607 nt
Organism: Pelobates cultripes (western spadefoot toad)
Lineage: Eukaryota; Metazoa; Chordata; Amphibia; Anura; Pelobatidae
Source: the annotation of a GenBank genome assembly
CCUAAACAUACACAUUUGUUGAUGCACACACAGCCAGAGACACACAUACUGAGAGAUAGUCAGACACACACACGCACAGUGAAAGAGACUGUCAGACACACGUUGACAGUCAGACACACAUUGACAGACAGAGACAGAUAGACAGACAGAGACACACACAUUCAGACACACUCACAAAGUACUAUUAAUACACUCAAAUAUAUACACACACAAACAAACAUUCAUAUAUAUACACACAGACAAAUACACAGAGACAUACACAGAUUUAAAAAAAAAAAUUUUUAGUCGCCCUCCUGUUUCCUACCUUUUGGGUUUCUUUUAUAGGUUUCUGGGGUAUAAAUAAAACAUGAAAUAAUUGAAGUAUCUUCUUUGGAACUGGCUGUAAGAGGAAUAGUACAGAAAAGGUAUUCUAGUUUUGGGAGUAGAUAUGCUCUAAUAAUAUUUAUUCUUCCAAGCCAGGAUAUUUGUAUUUUAGACCAUUUUGAAAUCGUAUUUCUAAAUUCUUCUAGAAGUAUGUUGUGACAGAUUCAUCUGCAUUGUUGGUUCGUCUGUUUCCCUUUGUUCGCGGAAUUGCCUGUUCAUAUACCCCCGUUCGUAUAAUUUGCAA